CAAUCUUUGCAUAAGGUUUUAAAAAUAUACAUUUGUUAUUGGAGCUUUUAUCUGGUCUUUCUAAACCUGGUGCUAUUUUUUAUCUGCUACUUGGAUUUCUUUGCUUCUAUAUGUGUAUUUUUAAAAUGUCGAUCUAAUCUUGGCUUACAGGAGCCUGCCACUGAGCACAUGUUUGCUAGUUCAUCAGAGCCUAUUCAUCUUUUCCUGACCACUGGUGAAAUCUCAUGGUGUCCAGCUAUAGAGCAAAUCAAGCCUGGAGGCUGCCUUCUUGGAAUGAAAUGCUGCUUAGGGAGAGACCAGAUUCAGUCUUAUGGCUGAGUAGCAAGCAUCCCAGCUCAUUUGGGAGUUUGAUUCAUAUAUUUACAUGUUGAAUAAGUGGUGAUUUCAA
This 388-nucleotide long non-coding RNA is filed under the name Homo sapiens (human). Its description in RNAcentral is "HSALNT0111289". Lineage: Eukaryota; Metazoa; Chordata; Mammalia; Primates; Hominidae. The record is from RNAcentral.